Molecule: ribosomal RNA, 420 nt
Filed under: uncultured Geobacteraceae bacterium
Lineage: Bacteria; Pseudomonadati; Thermodesulfobacteriota; Desulfuromonadia; Geobacterales; Geobacteraceae
Description: partial 16S ribosomal RNA
Rfam family: Bacterial small subunit ribosomal RNA
Source: RNAcentral
CCUACGGGAGGCAGCAGUGGGGAAUUUUGCGCAAUGGGCGAAAGCCUGACGCAGCGACGCCGCGUGGAGGAUGAAGGCCUUCGGGUCGUAAACUCCUGUCUUGCGGGAAGAAAGGCAAGGGUGCUAAUACCACCUUUGUUUGACGGUACCGCAGGAGGAAGCACCGGCUAACUCCGUGCCAGCAGCCGCGGUAAUACGGAGGGUGCGAGCGUUGUUCGGAAUUAUUGGGCGUAAAGCGCGUGUAGGCGGUUGGUGAAGUCUGAUGUGAAAGCCCCGGGCCCAACCUGGGAAGGGCAUUGGAUACUGGCAGACUGGAGUACGGGAGAGGAGAGUGGAAUUCCAAGUGUAGGAGUGAAAUCCGUAGAUAUUGGGAGGAACACCGCUGGCGAAGGCGGCUCUCGGGACCGAUACUGACGCUGA